GACGAACGCUGGCGGCGUGCUUAACACAUGCAAGUCGAACGGAAAGGCCCUGCUUUUGUGGGGUGCUCGAGUGGCGAACGGGUGAGUAACACGUGAGUAACCUGCCCUUGACGUUGGGAUAACUUCAGGAAACUGGGGCUAAUACCGGAUAGGAGCUCCUGCUGCAUGGUGGGGGUUGGAAAGUUUCGGCGGUUGGGGAUGGACUCGCGGCUUAUCAGCUUGUUGGUGGGGUAGUGGCUUACCAAGGCGUUGACGGGUAGCCGGCCUGAGAGGGUGACCGGCCACCUUGGGACUCAGAUACGGACCAGACUCCUACGGGAGGCAGCAGUGGCGAAUAUUGCACCCUGGGCGGCAGCAUGAUGCCGCACCGCCGCGUGCGGGAUGACGGCCCUCGGGUUGUCAACCGCUUUCGCAUGUGACUGAGCGUGAGUGCCGGUAAUCGGUAAAGAAGCCCCGGCUAACCACGUG
Molecule: ribosomal RNA, 468 nt
Filed under: uncultured bacterium
Lineage: Bacteria
Description: partial 16S ribosomal RNA
Rfam family: Bacterial small subunit ribosomal RNA
Source: RNAcentral